UAGAGAGGAGUCUUUUGCUAUGUUAAUUAGGUGACUUUUGGACCCCAAAUGAGGGGGGAGGCUGGUUGCUGGGGAAACCAACCACGGGACUAGGAACAGGGCUGGAUUUCCAAUCAGUCACCAGUGGCCGAUGAUUUUAAGCAACAAUGCCAAUUGAAGCCUCCAUAGAAACCCAAAAGGGUGUGGUUUGGAGAGUUCCAGAUGGGGAGCUUCCAGAACUCCGGAAACUCAUUUACUCACUAGAGUACCCAUUUAGUACAAAUGAUAUUAGAUGCUAUCAAUAGCCACAUAAAGAGAUACAUAGGGCAAGGUCCCGACCAAAGGAGCUUCUGCCCCCUUGGAAUUUAGGGCCCAUAACGUGGCAUGUGGAAUGUGUUUUGGUUCAUCCACCAGAAGUGUAGAAGAUAGUCUAAUAGAUAACUGCUCAAGGCAUACCCAUCGUCAGCUUCAAAGUCACGUUCUCAGUCCUGACCCACCAGUGAGCGUCGUGUUAACUCCAAGGAGGAGGAAGAACAUUGAACGGUGGGAAAACAGGUGGAAGGCUCUCUGCUGGCCUGUGCUGGAAUCCUGGUUCUGUGUUUAAGGAAAAGUUUAGGAUGCUUUUAGUGGCUAGUUGAAAUAAAAAUCGGAACACAUGAAAGCGCUCUCAACUCGUCUACCAAUAAGGUUUUUUUAGAGAGAUGCUACUGUGAGAUCCUGGUGCUUCUCCAGAGGGCUCGACAGAGUUCCCGGAGGCAGGUGCACAGCCAGGUCUCUGUGUACCUGAAGAUUUCGUGGGUGGCCUCCCAGAGGAAGUGGAACUGCUCCCCUGUAUCUUCACACUUUGAAAUACUACUUUUUAAGAACGAAAUGGCUAGACUUCCCCAACUUAAGAUGAACCAAAAUAGUGCUUUUAGAGCAACAAUUUAUUGAAACCAAAUCCUGGGGUACCAUAUUAAUUUGUACUAUUUUCAAGCCAAAAGAAAGUAUUGGUAUUUAUUUCUAUUAUUUAUUAUUUUAUUAUUAACAUGAUCAAUGAGACUUUUGUAUUAAGCUAAUAUCUUAAUAAAUGAAAGAAUAAAAAACCAUAGUUUCAUU
This is a long non-coding RNA of Felis catus (domestic cat), 1077 nucleotides long. RefSeq lists it as uncharacterized. The transcript is spliced from 3 exons. The record is from RefSeq and is a predicted model, not a curated record. NCBI's taxonomy places the organism in Eukaryota, Metazoa, Chordata, Mammalia, Carnivora, Felidae.